CCAGACUCCUACGGGAGGCAGCAGUAGGGAAUCAUCCGCAAUGGGCGAAAGCCUGACGGUGCAACGCCGCGUGAGUGAUGAAGGUUUUCGGAUCGUAAAGCUCUGUUGACAGGGAAGAACCCACGCCAGUCGAACAGGCUGGCGUGCUGACGGUACCUGUCCAGAAAGCCCCGGCUAACUACGUGCCAGCAGCCGCGGUAAUACGUAGGGGGCAAGCGUUGUCCGGAAUUAUUGGGCGUAAAGGGCACGCAGGCGGUUUCGUCAGUCCGAUGUGACAGGCCACGGCUCAACCGUGGAAGGCCAUUGGAAACUGCGAAACUUGAGGACAGAAGAGGAGAGUGGAAUUCCACGUGUAGCGGUGAAAUGCGUAGAUAUGUGGAGGAACACCAGUGGCGAAGGCGACUCUCUGGUCUGUACCUGACGCUGAGGUGCGAAAGCAUGGGGAGCAAACAGGAUUAGAUACCCUGGUAGUCCAUGCCGUAAACGCUGAGUGCUAGGUGUUAGGGGUUUCGAUACCCGUAGUGCCGAAGCUAACGCAUUAAGCACUCCGCCUGGGGAGUACGACCGCAAGGUUGAAACUCAAAGGAAUUGACGGGGGCCCGCACAAGCGGUGGAGCAUGUGGUUUAAUUCGACGCAACGCGAAGAACCUUACCAGAUCUUGACAUCUUCCGCUACGCCUCGAGAGAGGCGGUUCCCCUUCGGGGGACGGAAUGACAGGUGGUGCAUGGUUGUCGUCAGCUCGUGUCGUGAGAUGUUGGGUUAAGUCCCGCAACGAGCGCAACCCC
Molecule: ribosomal RNA, 786 nt
Filed under: Marinococcus luteus
Lineage: Bacteria; Bacillati; Bacillota; Bacilli; Caryophanales; Bacillaceae
Description: bacterial SSU rRNA
Rfam family: Bacterial small subunit ribosomal RNA
Source: RNAcentral